Molecule: long non-coding RNA, 2833 nt
Organism: Oncorhynchus tshawytscha (Chinook salmon)
Lineage: Eukaryota; Metazoa; Chordata; Actinopteri; Salmoniformes; Salmonidae
Source: Ensembl
UGUUUUUUGAAGUUACAUAAAUGUUUAAAAAUUCACAAAAAGUGAUGUAAACUGAUUAAGAUGACUAGAACAAAACUGUAUAAGAUCUCUUCAGCCUGUGUUUACCACAGAUCUUAUUUUCGGUGUUUAUACAAAAACCCUACAAAAACUCUAUUCAUUUUCCCUUAGGCUUUGUUCAACGAACCAUGGCAGAGUUAAUGCCUACAAAAAGACGUCAUCACUGUUGCUUUCUAUAUCACCACCACCACCUUCUUCUUCGUCAUCAUCAUCGUCGUCGUAAACAAAUGCUCUCCUUUCAACCAAUCAGCGUGCCGGAAUGGACAUUUGGGACCCUGAUCCCUCCCACUUCAGCGCGGGAAGAUGGAAAACAUCACUCUCAAAUAUCUCUGCAGUCCCUUCCAUACCCUCAUUGCUUUGGAAAGUCAAUGGAAAAGGGUGAACGGGUCUGAAAAUGAACGAGACAAAGAGUUAAGGAAUGAGGCAGUGGUGUUUGUUCAGCCCAGGCUACAGCUUCCCAGAUAUUGUAACUUGAAUUUAGGCCUGCCUACAUACAGAUAUCUCAAUUUUAAAUAGCCAACAAAAAAACGACAGUACAUCAUAAUGGAGAGAUGGUUGCAAUCUGGAGAAAGUUGUACAUCCUUUAAAAAUAACUAUUAAAUAAGUGUUGAUAUGGGACCUGUAUAUUAGGGUUUUUUGUCUCAAAGCAAUGAGGUAGACCAUGACUUGUUGUCAAUUUUGACACAUAACAACAAAAUCACUAGUCUUCCACACAGCUAUGGACCCUUAAGAUGAAAGGCUGCAUGCUUUAUUGGUUUUAGAAGACAAAACUCACAUAGAGACACAUUGGGUGUGCUGGAGCAACCCAAAGAAUCAAAUAAUCAUUCAUCAAGUCAACGUUGAGUCUGAUUUGGGAAAGAAUAAUAUGUGUACUUUAUCUCCUUAUAGUCUCAUUAUUAGCAUGAUGGCAGUACAUCUAAGUGUAAACAAUAAGUAGGCCUAUGCCCCCCUUGAAUACACUAUGCUCAGUAAUUUGAUAGCAUGAUCUCAUCUAGCUUCAUUUUACUGUACCCUUGCCUAUUCAGUUGCCAGGCUACAAGAUGUACUCAAGGUGGCCUCCUUUAGCUAAUGUUUAAAGGACUGAAGCAUAUUUUCAGGGAACCUCAGCCUCCUUCCAGCUGAACUAAUCUCUAUACAUCACAACAACCUUCAGGCUGAAGGCUAAAGGCAUUUGAAUGAGGUAAUGCCAGUUCUAGGUGACCUUCUCCUUGUAAUAGAAGAUUUAAUGAAGACAACUUAUCAAGUGCCCUUACUUGCAAUCAAAGAAGCGCAUGACAGAAAGUAAAAAAUAACAAUGACAUUAUACGUUUUAUACCUCUGCUCAUUUUGAUAUGGCCAGAUGUCUUGUCAGUUCUGCAACGUUGCCUCCUUGUAGUGAACAUAAAAUAACAUAUAUGAACCACAUUAAACCUAAUUCAAAUCUCGACUAUGGGGUAACCAGGGAUUGCCUCUGAGCUGUUUGUAUAACAUAUGUCCACCAUAUGUCUGUCUGACUUCUGUACUCAUAACAUAAACGUAUCAGUCAACAUCAGAUAUCAAAUGUUCUACCGACCACUGUUACGAAGCAGCAGCAGCAGUACAGAUGUUUAUCAGACCAUUAACUAAUGACUGCAUGUCUCGUCGUGGUGCAUCACAUCAUUUUUCAUAAACUCACCGAACAUUUUAGAACUGCUUAAUACAUUUGGUAACACAGGCUUCAUAUCAGAGGGUUAUGAAGGCGUAUGAGGGACAUGGUGCUUAACAGAUGUUGUUUCCGUAGUGUUAAAGAGACAGUUGGUGGUGGUGCCACCUUGUUCUACAGCCUCUAAGACCCUGGGGUGGUAGUGGAAGGACAAGGCCAGGGUGAUGUAGAUGGGCACACCAGCUGGAUGGAGAGCCAGUGAUAAGCCCCAGCGAUAACUAGGUAUCAGGGCACACUGUGUGCCACAAAGGUUGGCACAUGCAGUUACUGCCCUGUAGUUAGGCAUAGAGAGAACCCCUAAAGAUAAGCUGUGUCUUUGAGGUUCCCUUUGAACUGAUCUGUUUCAAUAACAUGUGCAUAAAAUACAAAUUUGAAUUGUAUUUUUGAGCCCCAAUUCAGUUUUUUAUACUGGAAAUAUAGACAUGAAUAGCAUAACAAAAGCAAAUGGUCAUGUUUGUGCAAUGAUGUGAUGAUUAAUCCAUUUAUUUGACUAUGUUCUGGCAAUUAUUAAACACUAUUAGAAUCACAACAACAUGUAUUUUCUUCCCUUAACUCUUGUUGUUGCCCACUGAAUAUUUGGAACAUCAAGGUAUUGUGUAGUAUGUACAUAUUGUAUUAUUCCCCCCAAAAAAUCUCUGUUACUGUAGGCUGGUGAGUGAUUUGGAAAAAUUCAUUUCCAGAAUGUCGAGGGUAUUUGUAAUCACGCAGCUGACCAAAUUACACAAUAUUUACGUUCUGGGUUAACCAAGAUAAAUGUUUUUGGCAUCUGAAGUCUGUUUGUGAGGUAUGAAAUAUUGUGUGACAUUUGUAGAUGGUUUUGUGGCCGUUAUGUUACUGUUUGGACUCCAAUAACACAUGUAUUGAUAUUUACACAUUAAACACAUGUAGUUAAUGCCUAAAAACUAUUUUAGCUAUUUCAUAGUUAUUGCCUAUUCUAUACUGGCAUAGGCUCUAAUCUAAUGCAUAUUCUCCUCUGCAUAUUAAAGGCUAUACUGCAUGUGCAUUAUAUUUAUAGGGGUUUCCAUCAUAUGUACAGGUCCUGCAUGGUUAGUUGAGUAACUCGAUUGUCACGGACAUGACAGGAAACACAGUUAC